ACGAACGCUGGCGGCGUGCUUAACACAUGCAAGUCGCACGGAAAGGCCCUGCUUGCAGGGUGCUCGAGUGGCGAACGGGUGAGUAACACGUGGGUGAUCUGCCCCUUACUUUGGGAUAAGCCUGGGAAACUGGGUCUAAUACUGGAUAGGACCAUGCUGUAGGUGGUGUGGUGGAAAGAUUAGUUUCGGUAAGGGAUGAGCUCGCGGCCUAUCAGCUUGUUGGUGGGGUAAUGGCCUACCAAGGCGUCGACGGGUAGCCGGCCUGAGAGGGUGGACGGCCACAUUGGGACUGAGAUACGGCCCAGACUCCUACGGGAGGCAGCAGUGGGGAAUAUUGCACAAUGGGCGCAAGCCUGAUGCAGCGACGCCGCGUGGGGGAUGACGGCCUUCGGGUUGUAAACUCCUUUCAGCCAUGACGAAGCCCUUGUGGUGACGGUAGUGGUGGAAGAAGCACCGGCUAACUACGU
This 467-nucleotide ribosomal RNA is filed under the name uncultured bacterium. RNAcentral's name for it is "partial 16S ribosomal RNA". It matches the Rfam family "Bacterial small subunit ribosomal RNA", at positions 29 to 506 of the family's 1533-position model. The record is from RNAcentral.